RNAcentral lists this non-coding RNA (31 nucleotides) under Mus musculus (house mouse). The record is from RNAcentral. Lineage: Eukaryota; Metazoa; Chordata; Mammalia; Rodentia; Muridae.
UAAGACAUUGGAGAGUGCCUGGAUAAGGUGU